This 9165-nucleotide long non-coding RNA is filed under the name Xyrichtys novacula (pearly razorfish). Lineage: Eukaryota; Metazoa; Chordata; Actinopteri; Labriformes; Labridae. The record is from RNAcentral.
UGUUAUGAGCAAUUAUAAAUAUGUUUAGAAUGCCCUAAACACGUAUUAACAUUAACAAAUCUUUUGAGCUCUUAUAAGCGGAUUAUUAGCUAUUAAUUCAUACUUAUUACAAGGACCUUCAUAUGGAGUGUUACCAAAGGGGUAUGACAAAAAGGAAAGGGUGGAUGGAGAGAAUCAGCAAAAAGUUCCCUUGAGUGCAGUGUACACUUCAUCUACUGUUUUUUUUUUUUACUGCAGAAUGGGAUGGAUUACAUUGGUUACAUAUAUUACGGGUUAUCAACACCCUCUGAUAGAAAACUGAUAACAUUGGAAACAGUAACAUUUACUGUUUCAAGACAUGAGCUAGCUUUGUGCUCAAAACAAACAAUAAGAAACUGUUAAUAUGUCCUCCUCCUUUGUGCCAUUGCCAUGGUACUGACCCACAGGUAUGUAAGCGUCCAAGAACUUAUUCGCCUUCAGGUUGGCUCCAUUGUGCAUUUUCAGUUUUUCAAUCAGUCAUGAAUAAAUGUCUGACCAUCUAACCAAAGGGUCUAUUCCAUGAUUUUGUGCCAAUUCAUGAGAAAUGGGGAACUUACAAGCAUGAUAGUAACACACCAAUGAGUACUUGGUAUGAGUUUUUGGUUUCAACUCGGUGAAAUAGCUGGUAAAUAUUGAAAAAUUAAACACAUUUAAACUUAAAAUAACCAAAAAAAUAAAUAAAUAAAAAUCAUCAUGGUAGCUUUGUUACUGGAUAGCCAGUUAAGCAACCUGUUCCUUGGCCACAGGGUCAGUGCCUGUGGCCAAGCAAGGGCAAGGCCGAAACAGCUGGUGAUGUAAACCUCUGCUGAUCUGAUCCCAUAGACCAGGGGUCGGCAACCUUAAACACUCAAAGAGCCACUUGGACCAGUUUCCCACAGAAAAGAAAACACAGGGAGCCACAAAACCUCUUUGACAUCUAAAAUGAAGAUUUUUUUUUUUUUUUACCUUUAUACAAAGUAUAUAAAAAACUGUAGCGAGUUGCAUUUAUGAAAUAAAUGAACUAUUUCGGCGAGUGUCUGUCUUCUUCUGUAGUUAAACCGCAAGAUAUCAAAAUCUACCCGGAUACAGCAAUGAUGCUUUUUGAUUGGCUGUUCAGUAGAUAUACUUUAUUCGAUUGGCUUCUGCGUGGCACGCAGCUUCUGAACUCUCGGAGGAACUCAGUUGAUUUCCCCCAGUUCCAUAGUUGAAGAAGUGCAACUUGGUGGACAUCACCGUGUUCAUUUAAAUGCGUGAGAAGUACAAUGUGUGGUGUGUGAGCGUGUGAACGAGUGGGAAUGCGUGUGUCAUACGCUGAAUGCGUGAGACUUGAGAGCCCUGUGCUCACGCAUCAUCGAUGUACUCCCGAGCCAUGCAAAACGGUCUUUGCAAAUGUUGCACUGAACGCCUUCCUUUUCAGUCUUGGUAAAGUUUUCCCACACCACUGAUGUUUUAGGUCGGGAUUUGGGUUGGGUUGUGUCCAUGUUUUUCUCAGCUGCUGCCUCGGCCAUGGCUGUUUCUUUUCUGUGCGUCCUGCUGAUGUUUACACGCCGGUGUCCAUGGACAUAUAUAAAGACCCGACGAAUCGAUUACAGAAUUUGUUGGCAACGGAUUUUUUCGUCACGACCAAUCUACUUAAUCGAUUCGUUGUUGCAGCCUUAAUAGUUUAUUUAAUGUUACAAGAGCAUUAUAAUCUUUGAAUUUAGAAUUACAAAAAAAUAAUAAUACUAAUGAAAUAAAAUAAAAUGCAAUUAAGUAUUUAUUAUUUAUUUUCCAAAUCCAUUGGGAGCCGCAGCUUAGGGAAGAAAGAGCCGCAUGCGGCUCCAGAGCCGCGGGUUGCCGACCCCUGCCAUAGACUGUAUGGACAUCUUGGUUCCGCCUUAUGCCAGUAUACGGAUUUGAAGCCAAAAAGCUCUCGGUAAUUCUGCGUUGGUUCCUCCAUUUCCUGAAACCAACAUUGCGCAGUUGCGUUUUAUGCAUUUGGCGAGAGAGUCGCUGUGAUGACGCUCAAAAACGGAGCUGUACAGAAAAAGAAUGACGAGCAAAAACCAGUCUUACAGUAACUACAUGUCAAUAUCGCAAGCAGGGGGGAAGAAAAUUAUGUUCUAUGUAAUAAAUUUCUAAAGUUUGUCCACAGCUCCAUAAGUUUUGCUGGCGGAGGCAGGAUUUAUGACCUAUACUGCAGCCCGUCACCAGAGGGUGCUGUUCUUAGAGUGGCUUCACCCAGCGAGGAGGCAGACACUGUCCAUUCUAUAUACAGUCUAUGUCUGGUCCUCUGUAGACCGGCUACAGUCACAGUCAGUAAUAUAUGCUCAGUUAAGAUUAGGCGAUUUGACUAGACAACUGACCUUGUCACAGUUUACGAGCACCUGGCAAGAAUUAAAUUACUGGAAGAGGCAUGUCCACCUUUGCUGCGAUUAGUGGUGACCCCCUUUCAGUUUGUGUCUCACAAAUGACCCCUUACAUACCAAAACAGUCAGCAAAAAAUAUCACCAAGAGGCCAGCAGGGUGUACAUCACAAAUGAAAACAAAGUCACUUUGACAGCUCUGUAACAUUUGCUCUUAUGACCAGAAAGUUUAAUCUUUUUUUACGACUUUUGUAAGGUUUGUUUACAAUAUGACUGUCCUGCAAACAUCCAUGUUAUGCAACUCCUGACACAAAGCCCACCAUGAAUGCUGAGGUUUACAAAGAACAUUUGAGCCAGUUUCAGUCCAAUUGAGCUGCAUACAUGACAGAGAAAAUCCAUCCCAACGGCAUUAUCCGGGUAUGUUAGUCCUACAGUGAGAAGUUUGAUUUAGCACAGUUUCAGUCGCACUACAGCGAUUAAUCAUGUUUCUUUUAAUAACAUGUAAACAUGGUAUAAUAAUCCAGUUUUUUAUCCAUUGACCAUUAACAGUUGCUGUUUUCUUUUUCGUCCUUUAACUAACAUCUUAUUAAAUUGACUUAUUUGACAAAUUGAUCCAAAUUGUGCUGCCGUGAAUGUUCAGUCCAGAGGGCUUUAUUCCAUAUGCUAGUCCAUGGUUAAUUUCAUUUCAUUCACUGGGUUCACUCCCCCAUGCAUGCUCAUGCUAAUCCUCUCCUCUCUUAUCUCCUGGUCAUAUCUAUAUAUUCCUCUAGUAACUAGUUCAUUCAUGCAUCAGUUCUGUCCAUCACCACCCAGCUUUUGCAGCUCUCCAGCUUUAUCAGCCCUGGACACUUUUAUCAACUAUCUCCCCAUUACCACCUAGUCUUGCAGUUUGAAUCAGCUCCAUCAUCUCAUUAGCCUCAGAUGUUAUCACGAGCCAACACCUCCCUAGUAUCUGGACUUCACAGGGAGAUAGAUUUUGCAGAUGCCCUUUAAUCUCCAUAUCUCCCUGUAGAGUUCAGGCAUCAAAGAAACACUGAUAAGUGAACAUCACAUUGUCUCUGUGAUAUAAAUAUUCAUCUUUAAUGCCUCAAUGCCUAUCCUGAAUAAGUGUCAGUCUACUGGAAUUUGUGAUUGGAGUCACAUCUAUAGUGAAGGUGUGCUGCCAGGAUAUAAUAGACUGCUGCUAGGGAGUAUUGGCCAAUCAAAAUCAAGAAUUGAACUCAGCUGUACAAUAAACUUGCAUUACUAACUCGCUGUAGUUUUAUUUUGAAAUUAAAAUUCGUAGAUUUCUUGUUCUUCAUUUUAAACACAUUCUUUCUUACAUUCAGUAACUCAAACUAUGAUGUUGACAAGCAUCACACUCAAACGUACAUGUCACAUGGUCUCUCCUCAGCAUUUGUAUGCCUUCGACCUUCCAUGCUUUUGAAAAAUUGUAGGCACUCAAACCCCCUUAUGAUUCAUUUAGCCUUUGUUUUCCUACUACAGCCUUUAGAUAUCAAUGUAAAAAAUUACACGUCAUCCCUUGAAGCUGUUCUCCAUGUAGCACAGAGUUUUAUGACCAAAACUGCAUUUACGUAACUAAAGCAGCUCAAAAAGAGAAGUCAAUCUGUGGAAGACCGUUACAUCUGAUUUUAUUAAAGGUUACAAAAAUUAGGGAGAAGUGCUGAGACCCAUAUGCUCCACCACAUCCUCUAUUGAUCUCACUCAGACAUCUUUGUGUGCAAGCAAGCAUACAAGGACACAGAUGAACAUGGACAAGAACAAACGUCUUUGUGCUUUUAGAGAUAAAAACAGAAGAUAUGUUUAUUAUAGAGGCUUCUCAGUAAUGUCAUGUUUCUGCCAAAAGAGCUUUCAGGGGAAUGAGAUAACUCUUUUGCUUUCUAUCGCAAGCAUGUUUUUUUUUACAUGCAGCUGAAGUGUUUCAAUGAUAAGAUAAAGUACUGCCUGACUUGUCAUCAUUUCCUCAUUCGCUCUGGUAUGUUUGUUAGCAACAGUGAGAUCCUGUGAUAUAAUGAAUCAUAUGACCAUGAGAAGCUGUGAAGGCUACGAAAAUUGAGGUCACAUCAAAGUGACAGGAAGUUUGUGUCACGCAAUGUAAGUCACAUCUAGCCAGACAAAACGCUUAUGUUAAUGGUAUCUACUAUCCUUAGAUAUGCAUUGUUGCAGUAUUUUUGCUGCCAUGUGUGUCAUGACACAGAAGCCGUCUGCUUUUGACCACAUGAGCAGUUUACAGGAAGUGACGGGAGAACGGUUUGAUGCUGCUCAUCCAGUACAAACAGGUUAUGAGGUGAUGGUAGUGGUAAUCAUGAUGUAUUGAGACAAUCAUAGAUAUUCUGAUCUCAGAGCACUCUUUCCAAAUAAAAAACUCAAUUUCACAGUUUCAGCAAAAACUGAUAUUUUAGUAUGAACAUGAACAUGGCGGGGCAUCUAAGGCCAAGGAAAGCACAUUGUUACUUCUUAUGGCCGUUUCCUCUUUCACUAAUGCACCCUGUGGAUAUCAGGAAAGUGCUGUAUCAGUGAAUGCGUUUACAUCGCUGUUAAGUCAAGCUACAGUCAAAACUCAAUUAGUCAAUUUGACUGGACGACUGUCCUUGUCCCAGUUUACAAUCACCAGGCAAGUAUAAUAUUACUGACAUGAGCAUGUCUGUCUCUGCCUGCAUGAUUGGUAGUGACAUGCCGCCUUUUGGCUCAUCAUCGGGUUGACCCACUACAUAUCAAAACAACAAAACACGUUAGCAAGAGGCUAUGGUGUGUAUGUCAAUGUUAAAAAUGUUUUUUUUACUGCUCUGUGCUGUUUGUUUGUACGAGAAGACAAGAUAAGAGAUUCCUUUAAUAGUCCCACAGGGGGAAAUUCCAAACAAACAAUUUAGCAAAGUUUCAUCUGUUUUACGUCAGUUCUUCAUCUGUCUGAGUUUUGUUUACUACCUGGCUUAGUAGCAACACAUUUUAGCUAUGCAACUCCAGACUCAAAGCCUGGCAUGCUAACCAUAGAUUUCAUAUAGCGUAUCACUAGAUGCUUUAUGACUCAUGUAAGACUACAGCAGCGAAUACGUCAAGACCGCUGCCAUCUUGAAGUGGUACCGGUGACUCCUGGCAAGUGUGGUGUUGGAUGUAAACAAAUGCAGUUGUUAGGUGUAUCACAGGCUUUCAAAACUUAAACUGACUGAAAAACCAUUGACUAGCACUGUUCCAAGAUGGUGGUGGUCCUGAUGCACCCUGGGCAGGGUUGUAAAGCAUCUAGUGAUUAUGAUAUCUAUGGUGCUAACACAGAGGCAUAUGCAGAACAUUUGAGCCAGUUUCAGCCCAACUGAGCUGUAUAGAAGGAAGAGAAAACCUAUCCCCAACUGCACUAUCCAGGGGUAUUAGUCAGGCUAUGAGAAGUUUUAUCCAGCGCAAUUUCGGUCAAACUAAUGUGUUAAAAUGUUUUUAAAAGUGCAGGUUAAGGACUGGGGCAAUUAAUCGAUUUUUUAAACUUGUAAAUGAACUGACUGACUUUUGACUGAAGACCAGGUUUUUGUUGGUCUAAGCCACAGGAAGCUGUCUGCUUACUCAAGAUAGUAAUCCUUGAGCACCACCACAUUUCCUUUUAAAACCAAAACAACCCACAGACACCAGCAUACUCAUAAUGCUAAAGUUCUGCUGGUGUAAUGUUUGUUCAGUACAAACUGGUAACAAGAUGUGACAUGAUAUAACUGAUAGAACACAACACAAGAUGAUGCAAUAUAAUACGAUACUGUACAAAACAUACAAUAUGGUAUUGUAUGAAUGGUACAAUAUGAGUUGAUGCAACAAGGUUUUGUACGGUACGGUGCAGUGUGGUGCAAUGCUAUACUAAGAAGGCACGGCAUGACACAAUAUGAUAUGAUACAAUGCAAUUGGGUAUUAUAUGAUAUGAUACUAUACAAAAUAAUAGAAUAUAGUUGACUACUAUUGCAGCAAUACUAGCAGUAUAUGGUUGGUAAUUGGCACCUAUAACAAGUAAAAAAAAAAGAAGCAUGAUCUUGACCUUAUUAUAGUGCUAUAUGGCUAGUCUAGGGAUCACCAAAGUUAUAUACUCAAUGGACCAAAUUUGAUUUAAUCAAUUUAUUAAUGGCUCUAAACAAAUAUGUCAGGGGGGCCAAAGUUUUAUGGUUCAUCUUCUGAUGACUACAAUGUUCCUAUAAUUUCAGGACAGUCCAGUGUGCAUCCAAGUUGCACACUUUCAUUUACCAUCUUGUUAAGUGGAAAUGCUGAUUAAGCAUUUCCACUUACUGUUGUAUUCUUUUUGAGUUUCUCAGUGAAAAUGUCCCCCGAUGAUUAUUCAGAGCCUUUCGCACAAAUCGUGGCUCUAUAUUUGAAUCUACCGUAAAUAUGGGUCAAAUCACAUCUAAAUGUAGAACGUCACAGGUUUAUUUGCUACCAAAAGUACCAAAAGGUUAUUAAAAAAAAAAAUCAAGUCACAACUUGAAAAAAGAAAUGUCAAUAAGAGUCGUGACGAUGGAAAUGACCCACUUUGAGCUUCAGCAAACAGAAAGAGUUGUGGAUGUUGCGGUCUGUCUGUGGCCUAAAUAAUUGUGAAUACUUUGGGUAAUGGUGUCACAAACAUGCAGAGAAGACCUACAUAUCUAUUUUGCUUCUGUUCUCCGCAGGUCUUUACAUGACUUCCUCUAAAUUCACCUCAUUGGUGAAUUACGUCCAUUCACUGUUUCUACAGUAAGAUUUCACAAAAAAGUGUCACAUUUUUUCAGAUACUUUUCGAUUAUUGUGCCUCUGAGGAGAGCAAUAACACAGGGUUUUCAGCUGACAUACCGAGAUCUGUGUGUGUCGAAGUAAAAUCCAAUAUAAAGGUACGGUGUGUAGUAUAUUUAGCAGAACAGACUUGGUAGAAAUUAAAUAUAACUGUCAUCAUAGUUUUUCCCUGGUUUUAUAAUUACUUGUAUUUUCCAUAGUGUUUCUGUUCCCUGUUGUCCCUGUUUCCUCUAGUUAAUUAUUCUUAUGUUCCUGUUGUUCUUGUUUUUCACUGUUUGGUUUUUGAGGUCUGUUUUCAGUGUUUCCUGUUUUAUUUCGUAGUGGUCAGUCCCUGUGUAUCUAGUGUAAAUUCCUUAGUUUUCCCCCCCUUUAUUGAUUACUAGCAAGUUUCACGUCUGCAUCAUGUGCUGCUCAUUCCCCUCCUUCCUUGUUGGUUUAUCGUUGGUGCUGUUCAUACCUUGUCCUCCCUACCUCAUGUCCUCAUGUUUUAUUGGAUUUUGAUCUUUGUUGUAAUUUUUUCCCCUCACCUUUUGUUCAUUAAACUUUUUUCAGUUAUGUCUGCAUUUUGGGUCCUCUUAUUUGUUAAAACUGUAUCUGUGACAAUAACAUUGAUUAGAACAUCCAAAAGUGUGUGUUUUCACCUGAAAAAAAACAAAAAAACAAUAUUUUGGUAAAAUUUAGACUGAACAGUUCCUCUCUCCAAAUAAUUUUUCACUUUUCUUUAAGAAGAUGAAAUCUAAGUAAACAAGGUAAAAUGCCAUUAAAGUGACUGGAAUAUUUUUAAAGUCUUACUACCUCUGUACAUAUUGUAUCUCAGCCAAUCCACCGAUAAGUCUGAGUUCCUAGGCCUAAAUACUGCAGUUAGGGGUUCUGAGAUUGUCAUUGUCAAAAUAAUGAUGAUAAACAUGAUGAAUUAACUGCUUAAGACUAAAAACACACAGAGUUAGUGGCUGUACUCUGCAACACAUAACUCAAUUUAGUUGUUGACCUCCUCUUGUGUCUGUGAACACACAUGAAAAACUGUACAGCUUACAUCUGGAUCAAAGUUUCUCCUUUUGCUGCCAGUUCCUGUUUAGACCUAUUACAGUCAAAUGAAAACCAUGUGAGCUUCAUGUGUUUCAAGUCCUGUGGUGAGCUCAAGUUCAAUCUCGUUUGUACUAGUUGCUGCUUAGUUUGGUUUCUAUGCUGUGUCAUUCAUGAGGAGAUGUCCUAAGAAGGAGACAGACAGAAGAGGAAGUGAGUGUCACUUUCACAGUCUUACUCAGACAUAAAGGUUUCAUUGCACAUCAGUUUAAGCAGCAUUAAAAAAAAAAAAGGUCUUAAUUCAGUCUGAUGCACAUUAAUCAACAUGUUAUCAGGAGUAUUUUUCUGACCUUAUUUGAUUAGUUGUGUGCUGCAGUGGUACUACUCGUGGUAUUUAUAAAGGGAAGUGGCUGAAGUGUUUGUACUCUGGGCUGGUCAUUGGGCUAAAAAAGUAAAAAUUAUACAGUCUUGUUUGAUUCAUUACUUAAACUACUUCACUUCACUUCUUGUUCUGCUUUUUAAGGUGGGGGCAAAAUAUCCCACAACUAAAAUUAAACUACAUAACACAUUUAGUCGAGUAGAAUGUGAGCACAAUGUUUGACGCACUCUGAGCAUUCACGUGUCUUUUUUCCAAUUACAUAACAAUCACACUCUGUGUCAGUCUCAAAAGGUGGAACGUGCUGAGAUGCAUGUUUUAGAGUGAAACAUGGAGUCUGUCUCAGUUUGAAGCACUGAUGUUGGAAAUGUGAUUAAAGCUGAAAGAGUACUCAUAAGGCAUUGUGGAAACUGAGAGGCUUUAUAUUUCAAAGAAAGAUGAUUAAAUUUUAUCAUGGUGAGAUAUCUAUGCAUCUCCAGAGCACACAGAUGAUGCAAGAAGUGCCUUAUGUGUCUCAUUUGCCAUGCACUGAUGUUAAUUUUGGAGGCUUUUGAAGCACCUGCAUAACAAUUUAUAUUUUAUCUGCUCAUCUUGAUGCAAAACAAGGCAAUCAAGUGAACAUGAGCAAUGUUUGUUAUCUGACCGUGUGAUCCCAGCACAUUAACCCUGCGGGUGGCCUCACUGUCUCUUCUGCAG